RNAcentral lists this ribosomal RNA (465 nucleotides) under uncultured bacterium. RNAcentral describes it as "bacterial SSU rRNA". It matches the Rfam family "Bacterial small subunit ribosomal RNA", at positions 338 to 795 of the family's 1533-position model. The record is from RNAcentral.
CCUACGGGCCGCACCAGUAGGGAAUCUUCGGCAAUGGACGAAAGUCUGACCGAGCAACGCCGCGUGAGUGAAGAAGGUUUUCGGGUCGUAAAACUCUGUUGGUAGAGAAGAACGUUGGUGAGAGUGGAAAGCUCACCAAGUGACGGUAACUACCCAGAAAGGGACGGCUAACUACGUGCCAGCAGCCGCGGUAAUACGUAGGUCCCGAGCGUUGUCCGGAUUUAUUGGGCGUAAAGCGAGCGCAGGUGGUUUAUUAAGUCUGGUGUAAAAGGCAGUGGCUCAACCAUUGUAUGCAUUGGAAACUGGUAGACUUGAGUGCAGGAGAGGAGAGUGGAAUUCCAUGUGUAGCGGUGAAACGCGUAGAUAUAUGGAGGAACACCGGUGGCGAAAGCGGCUCUCUGGCCUGUAACUGACACUGAGGCUCGAAAGCGUGGGGAGCAAACAGGAUUAGAUACCCCUGUAGUC